This 429-nucleotide ribosomal RNA is filed under the name Actinomycetes bacterium. RNAcentral describes it as "Actinobacteria bacterium partial 16S ribosomal RNA". It matches the Rfam family "Bacterial small subunit ribosomal RNA", at positions 355 to 776 of the family's 1533-position model. Lineage: Bacteria; Bacillati; Actinomycetota; Actinomycetes. The record is from RNAcentral.
UAGGGAAUCUUCCGCAAUGGGCGAAAGCCUGACGGAGCAACGCCUCGUGAGUGAUGAAGGUCUUCGGAUCGUAAAACUCUGUUAUUAGGGAAGAACAAAUGUGUAAGUAACUAUGCACGUCUUGACGGUACCUAAUCAGAAAGCCACGGCUAACUACGUGCCAGCAGCCGCGGUAAUACGUAGGUGGCAAGCGUUAUCCGGAAUUAUUGGGCGUAAAGCGCGCGUAGGCGGUUUUUUAAGUCUGAUGUGAAAGCCCACGGCUCAACCGUGGAGGGUCAUUGGAAACUGGAAAACUUGAGUGCAGAAGAGGAAAGUGGAAUUCCAUGUGUAGCGGUGAAAUGCGCAGAGAUAUGGAGGAACACCAGUGGCGAAGGCGACUUUCUGGUCUGUAACUGACGCUGAUGUGCGAAAGCGUGGGGAUCAAACAGG